Molecule: non-coding RNA, 85 nt
Organism: Felis catus (domestic cat)
Lineage: Eukaryota; Metazoa; Chordata; Mammalia; Carnivora; Felidae
Source: Rfam
GCCUGGGUGGCUCGGUCGGUUGAACAUCUGACUUCAGCUCAGGUCACGACCUCACAGUCCGUGGGUUCAAGCCCCGCAUCAGGCU